This 558-nucleotide long non-coding RNA is filed under the name Chinchilla lanigera (long-tailed chinchilla). RNAcentral's name for it is "lncRNA (ENSCLAG00000027014.1)". Lineage: Eukaryota; Metazoa; Chordata; Mammalia; Rodentia; Chinchillidae. The record is from RNAcentral.
GUGGGGGACAAGGAGCCCCUGUCACCCUCAUUCUUAAGAGACAGAGUGUCCCUUAGGCAUGAAGGUGGUUUGUGCCGUCUUGUCUUCCAGGAUGAUGGCUCAGCAGUCAGGUUAUCUCUCCCUUUCAUCUGCCUGCUGCUCCAUCUUCUGACUCACCACUUCCCCUCCGGCUACAGUUGUUACUGUUGGAUUCAUCAAGAUGUUUCUACUAAAGUCAUACAAACAGCUUUGACCUUGCUGCAUGUCAAUUUGAGAUCGUCAAAGUUCUGAGAUCACCAAAAUUCUGUCUGUAGCUUCACAGAGGUGCAGCUUGGAGAAGACUCUGGAUGCCAGAUGCUUGUGGCAACAUCAGCAGUGGACAGUCACCCUGGAAGCCAGCCUGGAUGUUAUGGGUCAAGAAUGGUUCUUCGGGUAGGUGGUCUUCCUCCCAAAAUUCCUGACUCCAGUCUACCCUAGAGAAACAUGUCUGACCAAAUCCAAAGAGAGGGACAUUUGACAAUGUUCUGUGGAUAAAUUAUUCUGACCUGUGCAUCACAACAUUGUCAGGGUGACCAGAAA